GGGUUGUGGCUCAGUGGUAGAGUACUGGUCUCACACGUGGGAGACCCUGGGUUCCAUCCUCAGCCUCA
Molecule: transfer RNA, 68 nt
Filed under: Marmota monax (woodchuck)
Lineage: Eukaryota; Metazoa; Chordata; Mammalia; Rodentia; Sciuridae
Description: tRNA.Val
Source: RNAcentral